RNAcentral lists this ribosomal RNA (266 nucleotides) under uncultured Sphingobacteriales bacterium. Its description in RNAcentral is "partial 16S ribosomal RNA". It matches the Rfam family "Bacterial small subunit ribosomal RNA", at positions 1117 to 1382 of the family's 1533-position model. Lineage: Bacteria; Pseudomonadati; Bacteroidota; Sphingobacteriia; Sphingobacteriales. The record is from RNAcentral.
GCCAUCAGGUUAAGCUGGGACGUCUAAAGGAACUGCCUACGCAAGUAGUGAGGAAGGCGGGGAGUGACGUCAAAUCAGCACGGCCCUUACGUCCAGGGCUACACACGUGCUACAAUGGCCGAUACAGAGGGCAGCUACCUGGUGACAGGAUGCAAAUCUCCAAAGUCGGUCUCAGUUCGGAUCGGAGUCUGCAACCCGACUCCGUGAAGUUGGAUUCGCUAGUAAUCGCGGAUCAGCAUGCCACGGUGAAUACGUUCCCGGGCCUU